AGAAUUUCAGAGUAGCGGUGAAAUGCGUAGAGAUCUGAAGGAAUACCGGUGGCGAAGGCGGCCCCCUGGACAAAGACUGACGCUCAGAUGCGAAAGCGUGGGGAGCAAACAGGAUUAGAUACCCUGGUAGUCCACGCUGUAAACGAUGUCUACUUGGAGGUUGUGGCCUAGAGCCGUGGCUUCCGGAGCUAACGCGUUAAGUAGACCGCCUGGGGAGUACGGUCGCAAGAUUAAAACUCAAAUGAAUUGACGGGGGCCCGCACAAGCGGUGGAGCAUGUGGUUUAAUUCGAUGCAACGCGAAGAACCUUACCUACUCUUGACAUCCACAGAAUUCGCUAGAGAUAGCUUAGUGCCUUCGGGAACUGUGAGACAGGUGCUGCAUGGCUGUCGUCAGC
This 396-nucleotide ribosomal RNA is filed under the name Enterovibrio norvegicus FF-33. Its description in RNAcentral is "bacterial SSU rRNA". It matches the Rfam family "Bacterial small subunit ribosomal RNA", at positions 663 to 1059 of the family's 1533-position model. Lineage: Bacteria; Pseudomonadati; Pseudomonadota; Gammaproteobacteria; Vibrionales; Vibrionaceae. The record is from RNAcentral.